CUCCUCACUCCCUCUCUCUCUUCCUCUCGGUCCCAUUCUCCCCAUCUCCACAUGCUCAUGGCUGGCCUCUACUCCUCUUCUCUUCUCUUCUCUCUCUCUCUCUCUUCCUCUCUCUCUCUCUCUCUCUCUCUCUCUCUCUCUCUCUCUUCCUCUCUCUCUCUUUCUCUGCUAUCUCCUCAAUCCCCCUCCUUCCCCAUGCCAUGCCCUGAAUAAACUCUAUUCUAUACAAUAUUGUAUAGAAUAUUGUCCUAUACAAUAUUGUCCCAUGGCUGGCACCUCAGGGGGCAGGGGUGCCUCAGCGUAGGCCCGCAGAGGUGUCCCCUUCCCCCACACUAUACCACCCCUCCACCAAACAUACCCCCCUUUUCUUUCUUUUUUUUUAAUAUAAAACACAACAGUGACCUUAGCUUCCUGGGCCUCAACAUCUAUCUAUCUUCAGGGAUCGAACCCAGGGACUGAUAGCAGUGGCUGAUAAAUAAGUUGAAAAAACAAGAAAGUUUGAGCCGCACCAUGAAAAUUCUUCUGUCCAGAGAAAGCUUGUCUGGGUGUGUUCUGUGGCCCUCUGAGGGCAUCGUGCUUUGUCUAGCUGUCUACGACUACACACUCCACUCUUUGUGUCUCUAAAGGGCACAGGGCUUUGCAACAGGAUGGGGUAGCCUCGGCUCCUUCCCAGCACAGCCCACUGCAGUAGUUAAUGUGUGAGGCCAGGAGUUCGGGGUGACAGCUCACAUAGCUGCGUGCUGAGGGGUGAGAAUCUGGCACGAGGACCCCCCAGCCAGAGACCUUUGUCUGCAGAUGUCCACCAGAUACUUUUAUGGACAGUGGACAAGGUGAGGGUAUUUGGCAACGAUAUACUGGGAAGAUAGAAGAAAAGCAUCACUUUCAGGAGGCAUUCUGACGACAUGUUUUAGAGAGAGCCAAGACCUUCAACAUCGUUGGCCAGAGCUCUUGCCAGUAAGCCACACCUCCAGUUCCUCCUUACAAUUUAAACCACUGCAUAACCAGUUCAUUCCUGCCCACAAAUAAAACUGAUCUCUAUGCCAUGA
Rattus norvegicus (Norway rat) is the source of this 1046-nucleotide non-coding RNA. NCBI's taxonomy places the organism in Eukaryota, Metazoa, Chordata, Mammalia, Rodentia, Muridae. The record is from RefSeq and is a predicted model, not a curated record.